UAACCUGCCCAAGAGAUCGGGAUAACACCUGGAAACAGAUGCUAAUACCGGAUAACAACAGAUGAUGCCUAUCAACUGUUUAAAAGAUGGUUCUGCUAUCACUCUUGGAUGGACCUGCGGUGCAUUAGCUAGUUGGUAGGGUAACGGCCUACCAAGGCAUGAUGCAUAGCCGAGUUGAGAGACUGAUCGGCCACAUUGGGACUGAGACACGGCCCAAACUCCUACGGGAGGCAGCAGUG
Molecule: ribosomal RNA, 239 nt
Filed under: uncultured Lactobacillus sp.
Lineage: Bacteria; Bacillati; Bacillota; Bacilli; Lactobacillales; Lactobacillaceae
Description: partial 16S ribosomal RNA
Rfam family: Bacterial small subunit ribosomal RNA
Source: RNAcentral